Molecule: small nucleolar RNA, 138 nt
Organism: Ornithorhynchus anatinus (platypus)
Lineage: Eukaryota; Metazoa; Chordata; Mammalia; Monotremata; Ornithorhynchidae
Source: RefSeq, a predicted model, not a curated record
CCCCUCUCAGAGUCACACCUGGAGAGUUUCUAGUACUCUACCUGUUUUGGCUACAGGAGGGAGAGUCAGGCAGAGGCAUACCCAUUCCAUUCCUAGCUUGGCCAGUGGCUAGAGAGUGGAAGGCAACCUGCUACAAGU